This 379-nucleotide ribosomal RNA is filed under the name Hemicycla bidentalis bidentalis. Its description in RNAcentral is "partial 16S ribosomal RNA". It matches the Rfam family "Bacterial large subunit ribosomal RNA", at positions 1855 to 2596 of the family's 2925-position model. Lineage: Eukaryota; Metazoa; Mollusca; Gastropoda; Stylommatophora; Helicidae. The record is from RNAcentral.
AUUUCUGCUCCAUGAUAUGUUAAAUAGCCGCAGUACUCUGACUGUGCAAAGGUAGCAUAAUCAGUUGGCUCCUAAUUAGAGUCUGGAAUGAAUGAACACAUGAAGAGUAGCUAUCUCAAAAGUAUUAUUUUGAAAUUGGUUGUGGGUGAAAAUCCCCACAACUCUCUAAAAGACGAGAAGACCCUAGAAACUUAUAUUAUUGUUUUGUUGGGGCGACAAAAUUACAUAUAACUGAUUUUAAAUGACGUGACGAAUUCAGAUAGCUAAAGUUACUCUAGGGAUAACAGCAUAAUAUUUUUUUGUUUGUGACCUCGAUGUUGGACUAGGUAAAGUGUUCUUUAGAAGGGAACAUAUAAGCUCUGUUCGAGCAUGUGAACCU